GUCGAGCGCGGGAAGCCGGCGGACUCCUUCGGGAGGAAACCGGUGGAACGAGCGGCGGACGGGUGAGUAACACGUGGGCAACCUGCCGGACUGAUGGGAAUAACCCCGGGAAACCGGGGCUAAUGCCCAAUACGCCCUGACCUCGCCUGAGGUCAGCGGCAAAGCAGGGAUCUUCGGAUCCUUGCACAGUCCGAUGGGCCCGCGGCGCAUUAGCUAGUUGGAGAGGUAAGGGCUCCCCAAGGCGACGAUGCGUAGCCGACCUGAGAGGGUGAUCGGCCACACUGGGACUGAGACACGGCCCAGACUCCUACGGGAGGCAGCAGUAGGGAAUCAUCCGCAAUGGGCGAAAGCCUGACGGUGCAACGCCGCGUGAGUGAUGAAGGUUUUCGGAUCGUAAAGCUCUGUUGACAGGGAAGAACCCACGCCAGUCGAACAGGCUGGCGUGCUGACGGUACCUGUCCAGAAAGCCCCGGCUAACUACGUGCCAGCAGCCGCGGUAAUACGUAGGGGGCAAGCGUUGUCCGGAAUUAUUGGGCGUAAAGGGCACGCAGGCGGUUUCGUCAGUCCGAUGUGACAGGCCACGGCUCAACCGUGGAAGGCCAUUGGAAACUGCGAAACUUGAGGACAGAAGAGGAGAGUGGAAUUCCACGUGUAGCGGUGAAAUGCGUAGAUAUGUGGAGGAACACCAGUGGCGAAGGCGACUCUCUGGUCUGUACCUGACGCUGAGGUGCGAAAGCAUGGGGAGCAAACAGGAUUAGAUACCCUGGUAGUCCAUGCCGUAAACGCUGAGUGCUAGGUGUUAGGGGUUUCGAUACCCGUAGUGCCGAAGCUAACGCAUUAAGCACUCCGCCUGGGGAGUACGACCGCAAGGUUGAAACUCAAAGGAAUUGACGGGGGCCCGCACAAGCGGUGGAGCAUGUGGUUUAAUUCGACGCAACGCGAAGAACCUUACAGAUCUUGACAUCUUCCGCUACGCCUCGAGAGAGCGUUCCCUUCGGGGACGAAUGACAGGUGGUGCAUGCUGUCGUCAGCUCGUGUCUGAGAUGUUGGAUAGUCCGCACGACGCACCCUAUCUUAGUUGCAGCAUCAGUGGCCUUCUAGUGACUGCAGUACAACGAGAGUGGGAUGAGUCAAUCUCAUGCCUUAGAUGGGCUCAACGUCCAUGAUGUAACGUACGUACCUGCAGAGUACCAAUCGGAAAGGCACUCUCAG
This 1212-nucleotide ribosomal RNA is filed under the name Marinococcus sp. HL10. Its description in RNAcentral is "bacterial SSU rRNA". It matches the Rfam family "Bacterial small subunit ribosomal RNA", at positions 61 to 1277 of the family's 1533-position model. Lineage: Bacteria; Bacillati; Bacillota; Bacilli; Caryophanales; Bacillaceae. The record is from RNAcentral.